This 1237-nucleotide ribosomal RNA is filed under the name Ammianus toi. Its description in RNAcentral is "16S ribosomal RNA". The stretch from base 1010 to 1170 matches the Rfam family "Archaeal large subunit ribosomal RNA", at positions 2542 to 2701 of the family's 2987-position model. Lineage: Eukaryota; Metazoa; Arthropoda; Insecta; Hemiptera; Tingidae. The record is from RNAcentral.
AUUUAAACAAUUAUUUUAUUAUCAUAUAUUUACUUUUAAAUAAAUAUAUAUUUAUUUUAGUAUUAUUUUUAGAAAUAAAAAAAUUAUAAUUAUAUAUUGUACUGUAAAGGAUUUUAAUUUAAUAUAUAUAAGAAAUCUUUUUUUGAUGUACCUUUUGUAUCAGGGUUUUUCAAUUUGAAUUUAUUUAUAUUAAUUUUCUCGAAAUUUAAAGAUAUACAUUUAUAUGUUAUUAUAUAUGUUAAAUUAUUUAAUAAUAUAAAUGUAGUUGUUAUAUGCUUUUCAUUUUAAAUAUAUCUAGUUUCUUUUUAAUUAAAUUUAAUUUAUAACUUAUUUUGAUUGAUUAUAUUUUUAUUAGUUAAAUUAAAUAAGUUUAAUUUCUAAAAGGAUAAGCUUUUAGAAAUUAUUUAUAAUUUUAUUUUAUACUAUAGUUUAAUUAGGAUUAAAAUUUUCUAUUUUUAUAUUUUUAUAAAAAUAACUAUAUAUAUAUUGAUUUUUUUUAAUUUAAAAUUUUAGAAGGAAGUAUUAAAUAAUCUUUAUUUAAUAGUUAUAAUGAAAGAAUUAGUAAAAUUUAAAACUUUAUUUAAGAAUUCGGCAAAUUUAAUUUUCGACUGUUUAUUAAAAACAUUUCCUUUAGAAAAAAAUUUAAGGUAUAACCUGCUCAAUGAUUUUUAAAUAGCCGCGAUAUUUUAUCGUGCGAAGGUAGCAUAAUCAUUUGUCUUUUAAUUGAAGUCUAGUAUGAAAGGUUGAACGAGAAAUUAACUUUUUUAAUAAUAAAUAUUUUAAUUUUAUUUUUUAGUUAAAAAGCUAAAAUUAAUUUAUGGGACGAUAAGACCCUAUAGAAUUUGAUUUAUAAAAAUUUAUUAAUAAUUUUGUUAUUAAUUUAUUAAUAAAUUUUUAUAAAUUUGGUUGGGGCGACUUUUAUAAUUAAAUAACUAUAAAUUUAAUGUUUUUCAUUGAUGUAUGAAUAAAUGAUCCUAAAUUUUAGAUUAUAAGAAUAAAUUACCUUAGGGAUAACAGCGUAAUUUUUCUGGAAAGUUCUUAUUAAUAGAAAAGAUUGCGACCUCGAUGUUGGAUUAAAAUUAAUUUAUGGUGUAGUCGCUAUAUAAGUUUAAGUCUGUUCGACUUUUAAAAUUUUACAUGAUCUGAGUUAAGACCGGCGUGAGCCAGGUUGGUUUCUAUCUAUAAUAUAUAUUAUAAUAUUUUAGUACGAAAGGACCAAAUAUUACAAAUAUUUUGU